CGCCUCUUGCAAAAUCAACGAAUAAGAGGUCUCGCCUGCCCUGUGACUAUAUGUUUAACGGCCGCGGUAUUUUGACCGUGCGAAGGUAGCGCAAUCACUUGUCUUUUAAAUGGGGACCUGUAUGAAUGGCAUAACGAGGGCCUAACUGUCUCCUUUUUCAAGUCAAUGAAAUUGAUCUUCCCGUGCAGAAGCGGAAAUAGCCCCAUAAGACGAGAAGACCCUAUGGAGCUUUAGACAAAAGUAGACCAUGUUAAACACCCUCGAAUAAGAGACCAAACUUAAUGCUUGCUGCCCUAAUGUCUUUGGUUGGGGUGACCGCGGCGAAACAAAUAACCCCCGUGUAGAAAGAGAGCUCCGUCUCUCCAAAUUAAGAGCUCCCGCUCAAACAAACAGAACAUCUGACUAAAUAAGAUCCGGCAACGCCGAUCAACGGACCGAGUUACCCUAGGGAUAACAGCGCAAUCCUCUUCUAGAGCCCAUAUCGACAAGAGGGUUUACGACCUCGAUGUUGGAUCAGGACAUCCUAAUGGUGCAGCCGCUAUUAAGGGUUCGUUUGUUCAACGAUUAAAGUCCU
Molecule: ribosomal RNA, 574 nt
Filed under: Chaetodon octofasciatus (eightband butterflyfish)
Lineage: Eukaryota; Metazoa; Chordata; Actinopteri; Chaetodontiformes; Chaetodontidae
Description: partial 16S ribosomal RNA
Rfam family: Bacterial large subunit ribosomal RNA
Source: RNAcentral